Long non-coding RNA from Eurytemora carolleeae, 349 nucleotides. RefSeq lists it as uncharacterized. The transcript has 2 exons. The record is from RefSeq and is a predicted model, not a curated record. Lineage: Eukaryota; Metazoa; Arthropoda; Copepoda; Calanoida; Temoridae.
AAACCUGACAGUUUGGUAAACUUGACAAUUUGGUAGACCUAACAAUUAGGUAAGCUUGACAAAUUGGUAAACUUGACAAUAUGUUAAACCUGAAAAUUUGGUAAGCUUGGCAAUUUGGUAAGCUUGUCAAUAUAGUAAACUUGACAAUUUGGUAAACUUGACAAUUUGGUAAAAAAUAUUUGUUUCUAAAAAUAUUUUGAUCACUUAGGUACACUAUGGUGAAGCAUAAACAAGAAACCAAAAGCGAAGGAAGGUUUAAAGCUCUCAGAACUGGACAAAGCAGGUAUAAGACUGACGGUAUAAACAGUGUACAUUACAAAAUACAGAGUAUAGAAAAUGAACCCUUGUA